GCUCUCGUGGCGCAACCCGGAUAGCGCAUUGGGAUCCUAACCCAAAGGUUGAAGGUUCAAAUCCUUCCGAGAGCG
RNAcentral lists this transfer RNA (75 nucleotides) under Candidatus Pacearchaeota archaeon. Its description in RNAcentral is "tRNA-Arg". It matches the Rfam family "tRNA". From Rfam's summary of the family: Transfer RNA (tRNA) molecules are approximately 80 nucleotides in length. Their secondary structure includes four short double-helical elements and three loops (D, anti-codon, and T loops). The record is from RNAcentral. Lineage: Archaea; Nanobdellati.